RNAcentral lists this ribosomal RNA (584 nucleotides) under Daldinia loculata. RNAcentral's name for it is "eukaryotic LSU rRNA". It matches the Rfam family "Eukaryotic large subunit ribosomal RNA", at positions 1 to 598 of the family's 3401-position model. Lineage: Eukaryota; Fungi; Ascomycota; Sordariomycetes; Xylariales; Hypoxylaceae. The record is from RNAcentral.
CUCGGAUUAGGUAGGAAUACCCGCUGAACUUAAGCAUAUCAAUAAGCGGAGGAAAAGAAACCAACAGGGAUUGCCCUAGUAACGGCGAGUGAAGCGGCAACAGCUCAAAUUUGAAAUCUGGCCCUAGCGGUCCGAGUUGUAAUUUGUAGAGGAUGCUUUUGGUUAGGUGCCUUCUGAGUUCCCUGGAACGGGACGCCAGAGAGGGUGAGAGCCCCGUACGGUUGGACACCGAGCCUCUAUAUAGCUCCUUCGACGAGUCGAGUAGUUUGGGAAUGCUGCUCUAAAUGGGAGGUAAAUUUCUUCUAAAGCUAAAUACCGGCCAGAGACCGAUAGCGCACAAGUAGAGUGAUCGAAAGAUGAAAAGUACUUUGAAAAGAGGGUUAAAUAGCACGUGAAAUUGUUGAAAGGGAAGCGUUUGCGACCAGACUUUUUCCAGGCGGAUCAUCCGGUGUUCUCACCGGUGCACUUCGCCUGGUUUAGGCCAGCAUCGGUUCUCUUAGGGGGAUAAAGGCCUGGGGAACGUAGCUCCUUCGGGAGUGUUAUAGCCCCUAGCGUAAUACCCUUCGGGGGACCGAGGAACGCGC